Capra hircus (goat) is the source of this 107-nucleotide small nuclear RNA. The record is from Ensembl. Lineage: Eukaryota; Metazoa; Chordata; Mammalia; Artiodactyla; Bovidae.
GUGCUCGCUUUAGCAGCACAUAUACUAAAACUGGAACAAUACAGAGAAGAUGAGCAUGGCCGUUGAACAAGGAUGACACCCAAAUUCAUGACGUGCUCCAUAAAAAA